UUCAGAAUCUUGCACAAUGGACGAAAGUCUGAUGCAGCCAUGCCGCGUGUGCGAAGAAGGCCUUCGGGUCGUAAAGCACUGUCAGAGGGAAAGAUCAUGACGGUACCCUCAAAGGAAGCCACGGCUAAUUACGUGCCAGCAGCCGCGGUAAUACGUAAGUGGCGAGCGUUAUCCGGAAUUACUGGGCGUAAAGCGUUCGUAGGCGGUGCAGAAAGUUGGGUUUGAAAGCCCGGGGCUCAACUCCGGACCC
Molecule: ribosomal RNA, 250 nt
Filed under: uncultured bacterium
Lineage: Bacteria
Description: partial 16S ribosomal RNA
Rfam family: Bacterial small subunit ribosomal RNA
Source: RNAcentral